Molecule: ribosomal RNA, 305 nt
Filed under: uncultured bacterium
Lineage: Bacteria
Description: bacterial SSU rRNA
Rfam family: Bacterial small subunit ribosomal RNA
Source: RNAcentral
CGUCCUACGGGGGGCAGCAGUGGGGAAUAUUGGGCAAUGGGCGCAAGCCUGACCCAGCAACGCCGCGUGAAGGAAGAAGGCUUUCGGGUUGUAAACUUCCUUUCUCAGGGACGAAGCAAGUGACGGUACCUGAGGAAUAAGCCACGGCUAACUACGUGCCAGCAGCCGCGGUAAUACGUAGGUGGCAAGCGUUAUCCGGAUUUAUUGGGUUUAAAGGGUGCGCAGGCGGAUUUUUAAGUCAGCGGUCAAAUCGUGGGGCUCAACCCCAUCCAGCCGUUGAAACUGGGGAUCUAGAGUGUGCGAGG